GAUCCUGGCUCAGAGCGAACGCUGGCGGCAGGCUUAACACAUGCAAGUCGAGCGGGCCCUUCGGGGUCAGCGGCGGACGGGUGAGUAACGCGUGGGAACGUGCCUUCUGGUUCGGAAUAACCCUGGGAAACUAGGGCUAAUACCGGAUACGCCCUUUUGGGGAAAGGUUUACUGCCGGAAGAUCGGCCCGCGUCUGAUUAGCUAGUUGGUGGGGUAACGGCCUACCAAGGCGACGAUCAGUAGCUGGUCUGAGAGGAUGAUCAG
RNAcentral lists this ribosomal RNA (264 nucleotides) under uncultured bacterium. RNAcentral's name for it is "partial 16S ribosomal RNA". It matches the Rfam family "Bacterial small subunit ribosomal RNA", at positions 15 to 307 of the family's 1533-position model. The record is from RNAcentral.